Long non-coding RNA from Phycodurus eques (leafy seadragon), 284 nucleotides. RefSeq lists it as uncharacterized. Lineage: Eukaryota; Metazoa; Chordata; Actinopteri; Syngnathiformes; Syngnathidae. The transcript has 3 exons. The record is from RefSeq and is a predicted model, not a curated record.
GAAGAACUAGACAUUAUGACUCAAAAGACCUCAACUCCAAGACCAUCCUCUGAUGAAAACGAACGAGACAAUCUGACUAAGGACUUCAAUGCUGAUACCAAAAAAAGAACUGAGAAAACUGGUUUCUGCUGGGGGAAAUAGGAAGAGGAAGAGGUGCCAGGUCUGCAGGCCAUCUGAUGAUGUCAAGACAAGCAUGACCUGUGUGAUGACAUGUCACUCAUUAUUAUUGUUGUUAUUAUUAUUUUCCAUUUUCUACCGCUUAUCUGAGGUCGGGUCACGGGGGC